AUACUUACCUGGUGUCGGGCACUCCGUGAUCAUGAAGGCGGAGACCCCAGGAGGAGGCCCAUCCAUUGCACUUCGGAAGGGCUGAGACCUGCCACUGUCCCAAACUGGGAAGGGUGGGGCAUGUAAUUUUUGAUAGUGGGAGUGUGCGUUCGCGCAACCCCCCU
This 164-nucleotide small nuclear RNA is filed under the name Tropilaelaps mercedesae. Its description in RNAcentral is "U1 spliceosomal RNA". It matches the Rfam family "U1 spliceosomal RNA". From Rfam's summary of the family: U1 is a small nuclear RNA (snRNA) component of the spliceosome (involved in pre-mRNA splicing). Lineage: Eukaryota; Metazoa; Arthropoda; Arachnida; Mesostigmata; Laelapidae. The record is from Rfam by way of RNAcentral.